RNAcentral lists this long non-coding RNA (1213 nucleotides) under Equus asinus (donkey). Its description in RNAcentral is "lncRNA (ENSEASG00005038483.1)". The record is from RNAcentral. Lineage: Eukaryota; Metazoa; Chordata; Mammalia; Perissodactyla; Equidae.
GAUACAUCCAGGCGACAAAGGCCAGGGCUCCUGUUACUAUAAGAACUCCUGCAAGAGUGAAUGUGAAUUGUGGCGCUCCCAGCUAUUCUGCUCCUGUUUCCAUCAGCCGCUUCCCUGAGGGGCUCAAGAGGCUGUGAUAAAAGCCAAAGUACCAAGGCAAAGAACAAAUGUCACAAGGUACUUUGCUAGAACCUGUGAUGUGCCUGGUACUGGGCUAGGUGCUGAGGAUAUGACCAUGUGGAGAGAAAACAAGUCCCUAAUGUCUUGGAGUCCAAGCAAAGGAGAGAUACUACACAUGUAUACAAACAAGACAAAAACAUAUUUAGAGCUGGGCUAACCACAAACCAUCACAGGAAACCCACACAGGACAAGAACUCUACUAGAACCAAGGAUUGGUCCGUCUGCUGUGUAUGAAGACAGUAAAAUGACAUAAUUUAAAUAGUGCCGUAGUAGUAGUGAAGUAAUUGCAUCCAUGAGGGAAAGGCCAAGACCAUCACUGAAGCACUGCCUGCUGGAUUCUUUAUAAAAGUAUGGAGAAGAAGACAGAUAUUAAAAUCGUAUAAUAACAAUUAUGAUAUCAUACUUACCACCUACUGUGCAUUAUGCUAAGCAUUUUAUCUUACUUUUAAUCCUCACAACAACCCUGCGUGCUGCUGCUGGAAAGAACUCCUUCUGCUGGGAUGAAGAAAUGCUGUUGGGUUGAUGCUCACAGGAACCACAAGCAGACAGAAAGCCUUUAAAAAGGAGCAAGCCCUCUCUUCCUCCUCCAACAUUGCAAUCUCCGUCCAGUACCACCUUUGGCAGAAUGUAACGGAGAGCCAGCUGGCAAAGCGGAAAUGGGGUGUGCAGAGUCCCAGUGCCAGCAUCUCAAAGCCAAAUAAAGAAAAGGGCAUUUGGAAUAUAGAGACAAAAAGUUAAUAACUGGUAUAACAAUGAUGCCUCCUAGCUUUUUCAAACGCUCAUGGGGAAAAAUCAAUUUUUAUUUUCCUGAAGCAAAAUAAUCUUUCAAAUUUGUUCAAAAAAAAAUAGUUCUAGGAAAGGAAGGAUUGUUAAUCAAAUUCUUAAGAACUACUGAUUCAGUCUUUAUGGUUUCAGGGUUUUUUAUUUCUGAUUUUCAGGAAGAUGUGUAUAUUUAAUAAGCCCAGUUUUGCCCCCAAACAUAUACUCCCUCAAAAAAAAAUUCUUUCAUCAAUAAAAAGAUCCUGAAAUUUCA